This 1062-nucleotide long non-coding RNA is filed under the name Dicentrarchus labrax (European seabass). RNAcentral describes it as "lncRNA (ENSDLAG00005033281.1)". Lineage: Eukaryota; Metazoa; Chordata; Actinopteri; Moronidae. The record is from RNAcentral.
AUGUGUUUUAAAGUUUUUACAAUGAGUGUGUUGUACCACGUUUUACAGGUUGUUUUUAAAAACUGGAAAAGGAAUUUAAUAAAGAGAGUGGGGAGAAUGGGGGGGCCUCAGUUAGCGCAGUGGGAAGUAGUCAGGGGACAAAUGACUAGUGGAUUUCCUAAAGAUGAACAAGAUAAAAUGAUGAAAGUACAUGAUGAUACAUGGACUUGGCUCCAGGAGCAGGGACAUGUACCUGGUAACAUGGAGAGGGUGAAAUUGUUGCCGUAUUUAGCUACCGCAGGGAAGACUGUAGUAGACGAGCUAGAAAAGCAGGACACUAGAGUACAACAGGGCUGGCUGGCCAAGAUAAAGUGGAAGAAGACUUCAGAGGAGAUAGACAAAGAGAGCUUCAGUACACGCGAUGUCAUUAGCCUGAGCAGCAAUAGGAGCACGGACAAAGACUGUGACCACGACUGUGACCAAGACUGCUCCACCUAUGGAGCUAGGACCAUGGCCCUUAUACCCAUACCUCGACAACCCUCCUUAUGCCAUGGACUCUCGCCGUACACAGACUCAGGCCAAUUGGAUUUAGAGGGGAACGUCUUUGAAGGGACAGUAAAGCAAUUUGAAGAGUUACGGGAGAUAAUAAAGGGGCAGACAAAGGACCUGGAUGAAGUUAAAACAUACUGGGAGCAACAGCAGGAGAAGAUAGCCCAGUUGAAGGCAGAGGUUAAAAAACAGGAAGAAAUAAGAUGCCCAGUGUCGGUUAUAGAGGAUACAUUCCCUACAGAGAAGCUGGAACACCAGAAGGGGGGGAGUGAGAGAGAGGAAGAUAGGAGAAGUACUGUGGGGACUGACGCAGAGCAGCACAGGGAGCAAAAGCAGCGCGAAGGGGGGGAGAAAAAUCAGACAGGGAGUCCAGCAGGACCAUUCCAGGCAAAGAUAGACAGGAGAAUAGCAGAGAGUGGCGGGGGGGGGUACGAAACCGAUGAGGAGGAGAUCACAUAUGGAGAGGGGGAAGAAGAAAGGGGGAAUACGAGCAAUACCUGCAAGUAUGUGAUGCACAGAUGUCAGGGCAGCUAG